Molecule: ribosomal RNA, 448 nt
Filed under: uncultured bacterium
Lineage: Bacteria
Description: SSU rRNA
Rfam family: Bacterial small subunit ribosomal RNA
Source: RNAcentral
AGAGCGAACGCUGGCGGCAGGCUUAACACAUGCAAGUCGAGCGGGCGUAGCAAUACGUCAGCGGCAGACGGGUGAGUAACGCGUGGGAACGUACCUUUUGGUUCGGAACAACACAGGGAAACUUGUGCUAAUACCGGAUAAGCCCUUACGGGGAAAGAUUUAUCGCCGAAAGAUCGGCCCGCGUCUGAUUAGCUAGUUGGUGUGGUAACGGCGCACCAAGGCGACGAUCAGUAGCUGGUCUGAGAGGAUGAUCAGCCACAUUGGGACUGAGACACGGCCCAAACUCCUACGGGAGGCAGCAGUGGGGAAUAUUGGACAAUGGGCGCAAGCCUGAUCCAGCCAUGCCGCGUGAGUGAUGAAGGCCCUAGGGUUGUAAAGCUCUUUUGUGCGGGAAGAUAAUGACGGUACCGCAAGAAUAAGCCCCGGCUAACUUCGCGUCAGCAGCCGC